Molecule: non-coding RNA, 133 nt
Organism: Gossypium arboreum
Lineage: Eukaryota; Viridiplantae; Streptophyta; Magnoliopsida; Malvales; Malvaceae
Source: Rfam
UAUUAAAAAUUUCAUCCAUUUAUAUUGUUAAAAACCGACAUAGUUGACGGAAUAACAUGAUAGUGCCACGUGUACCUCGUGCUGACAUACAAUGACCAAAUUUUAAUAGUAGAAAUAGAUAGAAUUUUUAACA